CGUGAUAUUAACAGUUUUGCUAGUAAUCAGACCCAGAUAUGAGAUAAGCACAUUUUGAUGUACUUCCUGUGUUGCACUUGGGGUUUUGUUCAAGCAUUAAAUGUCUUUCAGCAUUUAUUCCACAGAGUGAAAUCGUCAUCACACAAGUUCAUACUUAACCUUUUGAGGUGCUGUGCAAAGAGAAAUGUUUUAAACCUGGAUGUGUUCUGACUGAAAUGCUGUUCUCCGCUCUUUCUUUUUUAUUUUACCAUUAUUGACAUGCCUUAUCUGUUUGCUGUUAGUGCAGACAACAGCUAACUCACACGCUCAUUAUACUUUGUGGUACCAUCCUACAUGCUUAAAGAUUUUUUUCAAUAUUUCAUGAGUUUUUCUUUCUUUUUUUAGAUAAUGCACAACCACAUUAGUGGGAUAAGCCUCGUAGCCAAUAGUGUGCCUUACUGCGCUCCAAGAAAUGUGUAACCCAGUUAAUUUAGUUUUCUAGCACUUCUAGCUUGCUAACCAGGCUUGCUAGCGUUAGCUAAUAACUUGGCGCCCCAGACGCUUUUAUCCAAAUCGGCCACUUUUAUCUUUGAUAAACCAUCGUGGCAGCCACCAAAAAAUAUAAUAUUGAGGCUUCAAGAUGCAGAAACUAGAAACCUGUCAUGACCCUGUGCCUUCUCGGCUGACUCUGUAUGGCUACAAGUGUUUUUGUUGUGCUGCAUCUCUCUCUCUCCCCUGCACUGCGCUCUACCGGGGCGGAGUCAUGACGGCUCCAGCCCCUGGCUCGGACACCUGCAAGCAAUCAUCUCACUCACUUCUUAAGGCGGCUGCUGAGAGUGCUUCCUCGCUGGAUUAUUGUGUAACACUCGAUUCUCGCCAGCCUGAGGACCGCCGUUGGUGAGCUAAAGCCGGAGUCCGAGCUACCUGAGCUUCAGUGGAUGUUGUACAUAGCCCUCUUCUUCCCGUGCCUGUGCUUCCCGGAGACCCUCUUCCUGUGCCCCCUCACCUGUAUAUAUUCGCACCUGGUGUCUGUGUGUGUCAAUAAAUCACGAACUUAAGUGACGGUCUGCCUCCGAGUCCCUCCUGAGCCUGACAGAAUAAUCCAGCCACCGCUAUGGACUCAGCAGGCCCAGCCUCGGCAGCGACAGCCCCCAUGUCUCUGGAGGAGCUUCUGCACCGACACGAACAAAUGCUGGUGAAGCUCAGCGGAGACGUGGCGUCUCUAACGCAGGCCUUCGCCCAACGGAUUCCGCUGGCCGAGGACCAGCCUCCCGCGGCCCCUCCCCAGGUCAAGCCCGUGCUCUCCAGCCUGUUGUGCCCUCCUUCCGGGCCCCCUCCACCCGC
Astatotilapia calliptera (eastern happy) is the source of this 1323-nucleotide long non-coding RNA. NCBI's taxonomy places the organism in Eukaryota, Metazoa, Chordata, Actinopteri, Cichliformes, Cichlidae. The record is from Ensembl.